AACAGUUUGGCCGAGUGGUCUAAGGCGCCAGAUUUAGGCUCCGGUCCGAAAGGGCGUGGGUUCAAAUCCCCCACAGCUA
Molecule: transfer RNA, 79 nt
Filed under: Capsicum annuum
Lineage: Eukaryota; Viridiplantae; Streptophyta; Magnoliopsida; Solanales; Solanaceae
Rfam family: tRNA
About the family: Transfer RNA (tRNA) molecules are approximately 80 nucleotides in length. Their secondary structure includes four short double-helical elements and three loops (D, anti-codon, and T loops). Further hydrogen bonds mediate the characteristic L-shaped molecular structure. tRNAs have two regions of fundamental functional importance: the anti-codon, which is responsible for specific mRNA codon recognition, and the 3' end, to which the tRNAs corresponding amino acid is attached (by aminoacyl-tRNA synthetases). tRNAs cope with the degeneracy of the genetic code in two manners: having more than one tRNA (with a specific anti-codon) for a particular amino acid; and 'wobble' base-pairing, i.e. permitting non-standard base-pairing at the 3rd anti-codon position.
Source: Rfam by way of RNAcentral